CCCCAGCCCUCCGCCCGGGUCGGCCGCGCGGGAGGCGAAGGAAGGCUGGGCUCACCAGGUCCCUCCGGGCUGGACGGCGCCGGGGGCCGGUGGGGCGGGGACCCGCACCCGGGGUCCCCCUGGGCGGGCUCCCUCAGCUUAAAUUCGUACUAGAAAAACUUCACCAUUUUAACAAUACCGUCACCUUUAUACCUGGUUAAAAAUACAGAAUGUUUGGGCUGUGCCCCCAGAGUGUAACUCGGUGUUUGUGAGAAAGGACCCAGGAAUCUACAUAACCAGCAAUCAUCCAUGUGUUCAGAUAUUCUGGACCUCCUACCGGACCCAUCUGGUAGAAUGCCACAAAGGAUACUACCUGCUCCAGACCGUACUGCUACUAGAUGGGGACGCCAUCUGCAACAACCUGGAUGCCUGAGAAACCUUGUGGAUCAGAACUCCUCCCCCUCAACCUCAGCCUGUGUUUCCUGGAAACAGAUGAGCAUGGAGACCUGAAUUCAUUAAAGAUGGCAAAGCCACAGCUAGAAAGAACCUGGGUCCCUGAAUCCAUCCUUAGAGGGGAGCCACACACACCACUCAAGAACAUUUCGGACUUGAACGUGAAAUAAAUUUCUAUGAGAAUGGAGAUUAUAAAAGUAUCUACACCUCAUGGGGUUAUGUGAAGAUUAUGUGGGAGAAUACACAUAAGCACCCAGCCCAGUCCUUGAAAUCUGCUAAGAUGAUUCUCAAUAGUAAAAAGUACACUUCAGAAGAGCAAGGAAUGCAAUGGAAGUUUAAAACAUGCUGAAGGCUACUCUUCUUUCAAAAUGCCAGAAGCUAGUAAUUCAGGACCGCUCUCUUGCUUAUGUACCAGCACUGGAAUAUAAACCUUAAGAAAUAGAGAGAGCGCACACGCAGGGGGAGAGGCAUGCAAAGGGAGAAGCAGGUUCCCGGCUGAGCAGGGAGCCCAACGCGGGACUCGAUCCCAAGACCCUGAGAUCGUGACCUGAGCCGAAGGCAGACACCCAACCAACUGAGCCACCCAGGCGUCCCUGUUAAAGCUGUUCAUGUGGAUAAAGUUACCACUCUGUAAGAGCACUGUGCCCUUUUUUGGAAGGAGGACCUGAGUGACCAAGCAGUCUGUCACUAAGCAAGAUCAAACUGCCAACAUUUUGGAUGACAGGAAGUUCAUAGUGACCUUGUCAAAUCAGAGAAAUGAUCAGCUGGAAACCUGACUUUCCCAGAGGAAUGAGGUACUCUGCUGUGGUAGGAAGAACAAAAGUGUCCCUGUCCUAAUCCCUGGAACCUGGGAACAUGUGACCCUACUUACAUGGCAAAGAGGAAUUAAGGUUGCUAAUUAAUUGGCCUCGAGAUAGAGUGGCCUAUGCUGGCAUACGGAUCUUCAUGAGCCUUUCCUUGAGCAGACUGUAGGAUGCGGUCUCACCUGACACUUGACUCAAGAGCUACUCUUCCACGGGAAGACAGUCUGGGCAAUCACAACGAAGAGAUGAAUUCUGAAGAUCAAAGACUAUAGAGUUAGAGCCUAAUUGAAGUCAUAACAACAAAAGCCAUGAGCAAACUAAUGGGUAAGGAAAGAAACUAGUCUAUAGUCGAGAAUGGAAAAGACUUACAGGGAAGAGUGAAAAUGAAAGACCUUGGGGAAGCAGGGAGAGAGAGACAACCUUGACUCUUGACUUUCUGGGACCAAGUCCAUCUCCAUGAAGCCUGGACUCUGGGUGUUGCCGCUUGCCCAAUCAUUAUCAUCUCUAUCUUCUUCUGACUAUGAUUGGGUCAGUUUUAAUUUCUUGUGACUCAGCCUUGACUCAAAAGAAAACUACCAUUUAAACAGUAUGAAACAUGCUGCUGGAAAAUUUAUAUAUUUUUUUCAUUUGACCUUACUAAAGCUCUGAAAAACAUCACUCUUAUUUUAUAGGCAAUGAAAGGAAAAAAGGAAGCUUUUGUUCAACAUUGUAGAGCUUUGCCCAACUCUGGGAUUUUCAGCUUAGGACUGUCCAUCUCCAUCAUGCCACACAACCAUCACCAUUACACCUGAAGACAGUUUCUUCUCAGUAGCUAACAAGGCUCCUCCACAGUCAUAAAUGUUGUUGUUUGCCUGGAAUAACUGGAAUCAUGUCCAGAAUAUCCCUAGGGUGACGGUGUUUCCUUACUCUUAACACAAUAAAGCCAAAGCUGCCAUUGGAAGUCUUAGCCCUCACCCCAAUUCUGCAAAUCUGAUGGUACUGCAUACAGCGGUUGAGGGCAUAAUGGGUAAGUGGAUCUUUC
Long non-coding RNA from Mirounga angustirostris (Northern elephant seal), 2256 nucleotides. RefSeq lists it as uncharacterized. NCBI's taxonomy places the organism in Eukaryota, Metazoa, Chordata, Mammalia, Carnivora, Phocidae. The record is from RefSeq and is a predicted model, not a curated record. The transcript is spliced from 10 exons.